This is a long non-coding RNA of Fukomys damarensis (Damara mole-rat), 493 nucleotides long. RefSeq lists it as uncharacterized. Lineage: Eukaryota; Metazoa; Chordata; Mammalia; Rodentia; Bathyergidae. The record is from RefSeq and is a predicted model, not a curated record. The transcript has 3 exons.
UCUGAAAAGACUGGAAGAUGAAAAGGAGAAAAAGAGUUAAAACCGUGACAGAAGAUAUUCCAAAAUACAUGAAUCAGGUUACCUCACCAAGCUCACCUCGUUCAGGACAAGGAAAUGAUGGCUCCGUGCAGAAUAGGUGGUCCACGGACAUCUCCCCUGCCCAGGACUACACUUCCCCUUCCUUCACAGACCUUUAAACUUCUCCACCACCUUCACCUUGAGUCCUCCCGACCCCCUGGAAACAUCCGUGACCGCUGACCAGGUCCCCUGGCUCUGACCAAUUCUAUCCCUCAAGGAGUCUCCCUUGGAGGCCGCACCUCCACCACGCUGGGCUGCCUGCACUGGAGCAAGAUGUGCGGCAUCGCCGAAGUCUGCUCCCUCCAAGCCAUAUUCAGGAAGCCGUGAGGACAGCCUGUGUCCCCAGCAGCCUAGGCCCAGCGGGCAGCCUCCGCAUGACCCCAGCGGACGGAGUCCAGCAAACACCACCACGGAA